CUCGUAGGCGGUCUGUCGCGUCUGCUGUGAAAACUCAGGGCUUAACCCUGAGCUUGCAGUGGGUACGGGCAGACUAGAGUGCGGUAGGGGAGACUGGAAUUCCUGGUGUAGCGGUGAAAUGCGCAGAUAUCAGGAGGAACACCGGUGGCGAAGGCGGGUCUCUGGGCCGUAACUGACGCUGAGGAGCGAAAGCAUGGGGAGCGAACA
RNAcentral lists this ribosomal RNA (207 nucleotides) under uncultured bacterium. Its description in RNAcentral is "partial 16S ribosomal RNA". It matches the Rfam family "Bacterial small subunit ribosomal RNA", at positions 568 to 774 of the family's 1533-position model. The record is from RNAcentral.